CCCUUAGAUGUCCUGGGCCGCACGCGCGCUACACUGAGUGUCUGAGAUACGAGUCUGCCUGGUCCGGCAAGGUCUAGGUAAUCGCUAAAAGACACAUCAUGCUUGGGAUAGAUUAUUGCAAAUAUUAAUCUUGAACGAGGAAUUCCUAGUAAGCGCAAGUCAACAGCUUGCGUUGAUUACGUCCCUGCCCUUUGUACACACCGCCCGUCGCUACUACUGAUUGGAUGUUUAAGCGAGGUUCUCGAACUGCUAGCGACUUAGCUUCGGUGAGGUCGCAGUGUGGGCAGUGAACCUAGCUUUGGUGUCUAGAGGAAGUAAAAGUCGUAACA
Molecule: ribosomal RNA, 329 nt
Filed under: uncultured eukaryote
Lineage: Eukaryota
Description: partial 18S ribosomal RNA
Rfam family: Eukaryotic small subunit ribosomal RNA
Source: RNAcentral